RNAcentral lists this ribosomal RNA (370 nucleotides) under Bacillus subtilis. Its description in RNAcentral is "bacterial SSU rRNA". It matches the Rfam family "Bacterial small subunit ribosomal RNA", at positions 23 to 383 of the family's 1533-position model. Lineage: Bacteria; Bacillati; Bacillota; Bacilli; Caryophanales; Bacillaceae. The record is from RNAcentral.
CUCAGGACGAACGCUGGCGGCGUGCCUAAUACAUGCAAGUCGAGCGGACAGAUGGGAGCUUGCUCCCUGAUGUUAGCGGCGGACGGGUGAGUAACACGUGGGUAACCUGCCUGUAAGACUGGGAUAACUCCGGGAAACCGGGGCUAAUACCGGAUGGUUGUUUGAACCGCAUGGUUCAGACAUAAAAGGUGGCUUCGGCUACCACUUACAGAUGGACCCGCGGCGCAUUAGCUAGUUGGUGAGGUAACGGCUCACCAAGGCGACGAUGCGUAGCCGACCUGAGAGGGUGAUCGGCCACACUGGGACUGAGACACGGCCCAGACUCCUACGGGAGGCAGCAGUAGGGAAUCUUCCGCAAUGGACGAAAGUC